GACGAACGCUGGCGGCGUGCUUAACACAUGCAAGUCGAACGGAAAGGCCCUGCUUUUGUGGGGUGCUCGAGUGGCGAACGGGUGAGUAACACGUGAGUAACCUGCCCUUGACUUUGGGAUAACUUCAGGAAACUGGGGCUAAUACCGGAUAGGAGCUCCUGCUGCAUGGUGGGGGUUGGAAAGUUUCGGCGGUUGGGGCUGGACUCGCGGCUUAUCAGCUUGUUGGUGGGGUAGUGGCUUACCAAGGCUUUGACGGGUAGCCGGCCUGAGAGGGUGACCGGCCACAUUGGGACUGAGAUACGGCCCAGACUCCUACGGGAGGCAGCAGUGGGGAAUAUUGCACAAUGGGCGGAAGCCUGAUGCAGCAACGCCGCGUGUGGGAUGACGGCCUUCGGGUUGUAAACCGCUUUCGCCUGUGACGAAGCGUGAGUGACGGUAAUGGGUAAAGAAGCACCGGCUAACUACGUG
RNAcentral lists this ribosomal RNA (468 nucleotides) under uncultured bacterium. RNAcentral describes it as "partial 16S ribosomal RNA". It matches the Rfam family "Bacterial small subunit ribosomal RNA", at positions 28 to 507 of the family's 1533-position model. The record is from RNAcentral.